CGUGCCGCAUAGAUCGGGAUACUCUACAUUAAAAAAAUCAAUCGGGCUAGCUUCUCUUGCCAAUGGCGGGCCACAUCCCUCGGGAGAGCAUCGUGAUGCCGGUGGAUUACAACGACGGAGAGCACCCAUAUCGUGUGAAACAGGAGUUUUCACCAAAUCAUCGGCACG
Molecule: small RNA, 168 nt
Filed under: uncultured Prevotella sp.
Lineage: Bacteria; Pseudomonadati; Bacteroidota; Bacteroidia; Bacteroidales; Prevotellaceae
Description: Bacteroidales-1 6S-Bacteroidales RNA suggested
Rfam family: Bacteroidales-1 6S-Bacteroidales RNA suggested
Source: RNAcentral